This is a long non-coding RNA of Lytechinus variegatus (green sea urchin), 843 nucleotides long. RefSeq lists it as uncharacterized. The transcript has 4 exons. NCBI's taxonomy places the organism in Eukaryota, Metazoa, Echinodermata, Echinoidea, Temnopleuroida, Toxopneustidae. The record is from RefSeq and is a predicted model, not a curated record.
ACCUAGAUAAAAGUUCGUCAUUAAGGAUUAUUUCAUUCCAUUUACAUUUAAAUUUUGUGGUAAUUUAUUACAUAUAGGUCCAGCAGUUGACGGAAUCUACGCGGCAUACAGUAUUGACAUCAUCGUAGCCGUUUUCCUAAUCUUCGCGUCCAUUGUCCUUCUUGUAGGUGUGUCGAAAGAUAAUAAAGAGAUGCUAAUCCCAUACAUGGUAGCUAUUUUUCUGCUCAUGGUUCUUCAAGCCAUCGCCUGGAUUGUAACAUUUGCCUUAGCCGGCCUGGAGGGUACUCUCCUGAUCGGUAAUCUUGUGGUCUGGUUGCUAUUUACUGCCCUCAACAUAACUUGUCUCCUCUGUGUUAUUUCGCAAUAUCAGGAGCUUCGAGACGGCCGUGGAAAAGCAAGUAAUGUGAUGUAAACAGAAACUCACGAUUUGAAAUAUCAACUUUUCCCUUCAAGAUAUACAAUGUAUGAUAAGCGCCUCUUUGGGUAUUGCGGGAUGGAACUCACAGGAUUUAUCAUUUUGUAUUACUUUUUUCUCAAAUUAUCGAAUUAUCUUCUCUACAAUGUUAUAAGAAUGUAGCAAGCCUGUUUUUAGCAAAAGUGUAGCUUUAGCAAUCAUCUUGAAAGAUGUAUUUGAAAGUAGAUUGGCUUCGUGUAUUAAUAAUUAUUCGCUGAAAUUAAAUCUGUAUAGUCACAUGCACACAUUUUUGUAUAUUACACUGUCAGUCUUUAACUGAGUAAAAUAACAGUGAAAGAUGGCGUCGUUUAGGCAUAGGUUCUGUGGUAUUUUUAAAACACACAACGUACAUUGUAAGAAUAAAAAGUAUUGCAAUGUAUUUCAAAUUG